Guyanagaster necrorhizus is the source of this 80-nucleotide non-coding RNA. NCBI's taxonomy places the organism in Eukaryota, Fungi, Basidiomycota, Agaricomycetes, Agaricales, Physalacriaceae. The record is from the annotation of a RefSeq genome assembly.
UCCCUCUUAACUCAGGUGGUAGAGCGCGUCACUGGUAUGUUUAUUUGUAGAGGUCAGUUGUUCAAGUCGGCUAGAAGUGU